CGCGUCCUACGGGGGGCAGCAGUGGGGAAUUUUGGACAAUGGGCGCAAGCCUGAUCCAGCUAUUCCGCGUGUGGGAAGACGGCCUUCGGGUUGUAAACCACUUUUGUAGAGAACGAAAAGUCUAUUGAUAAUACCGAUAGAUGAUGACGGUACUCUAAGAAUAAGCACCGGCUAACUACGUGCCAGCAGCCGCGGUAAUACGUAGGGUGCGAGCGUUAAUCGGAAUUACUGGGCGUAAAGGGUGUGCAGGCGGUUUUGCAAGAUGGAUGUGAAAGCCCCGGGCUUAACCGGGGGAAGGCAUACAU
This 305-nucleotide ribosomal RNA is filed under the name uncultured bacterium. RNAcentral's name for it is "bacterial SSU rRNA". It matches the Rfam family "Bacterial small subunit ribosomal RNA", at positions 333 to 630 of the family's 1533-position model. The record is from RNAcentral.